Molecule: ribosomal RNA, 465 nt
Filed under: uncultured bacterium
Lineage: Bacteria
Description: partial 16S ribosomal RNA
Rfam family: Bacterial small subunit ribosomal RNA
Source: RNAcentral
GACGAACGCUGGCGGCGUGCUUAACACAUGCAAGUCGAACGGAAAGGCCCUGCUUGCAGGGUACUCGAGUGGCGAACGGGUGAGUAACACGUGGGUGAUCUGCCCUGCACUUCGGGAUAAGCCUGGGAAACUGGGUCUAAUACCGGAUAGGAGCCAUUUUUAGUGUGAUGGUUGGAAAGUUUUUUCGGUGUAGGAUGAGCUCGCGGCCUAUCAGCUUGUUGGUGGGGUAAUGGCCUACCAAGGCGGCGACGGGUAGCCGGCCGGAGAGGGUGGACGGCCACAUUGGGACUGAGAUACGGCCCAGACUCCUACGGGAGGCAGCAGUGGGGAAUAUUGCACAAGGGGCGCAAGCCUGAUGCAGCGACGCCGCGGGGGGGAUGACGGCCUUCGGGUUGUAAACUCCUUUCGCUAGGGACGAAGCUUUUUGUGACGGUACCUAGAUAAGAAGCACCGGCUAACUACGUG